GGAGCCGGGCAGCGCACCUCCCCGGCCGCUGGGGCGCGGUACGCCCGGCGACUAGCCCACACCUCGAGCAUACACAACCUAUGUACUAGCACUCUUCUAACUUUUGGAGAUGAAACACUACGUAAGUCAGGGCUCCUGGACUAGUGGGGAAGGUGAACCAGUGAAGAAGUCAUCACAGCACACCAUGCUAAGGGCCUAAUUGGACAAAAGGCUUCUGGCAAGUGACUUUUCUUAGGAGAAUGUGGGAUGGCUUCCUGGAGGAGGUGACAACAGAGCUGGAUUCUGAAGGGUGUAUAUGGACACCCAGUGCUUCGUGCCCCAACUUGAAUUGGGCCUUUGGUGAUUUUGCAGAAGGCUGAAAACAUGGAAGUGUGCUGUGUUUGUUCCAGCUGCACUUCAGCACCCUCUGGAUUUACAGCCGUGCCCAGGUCUUGUCAACAGGCAUG
Molecule: long non-coding RNA, 446 nt
Organism: Symphalangus syndactylus (siamang)
Lineage: Eukaryota; Metazoa; Chordata; Mammalia; Primates; Hylobatidae
Source: RefSeq, a predicted model, not a curated record